This is a non-coding RNA of Amborella trichopoda, 2734 nucleotides long. Lineage: Eukaryota; Viridiplantae; Streptophyta; Magnoliopsida; Amborellales; Amborellaceae. The record is from RefSeq and is a predicted model, not a curated record.
UGGAUCCCCCGUUGAUUGCCUUCCGAAAUUUUCACGAAAAAUUGCCUUCCGAAAAUUUCAAGGGGUCAUAGUGCCUUCUGCUCAAACAUUUUGGGUGCGUUUGAUAAUAGAGAAAACAUGGGAAAGUCUCUGACCUUCUUGAAAUAUUUUGAGUGCGAAUGAUAACUGAGAAAACAGGGGAGAGACUGGCUCCUUUAGUGUUGUCUAUGGAUAUAAUUGAUUCUUCAAAUGGGUCUCUAGAACUUUGAGAUGAUUUUGGUCUCUCUCUCUCGACAUUGUGCUUGGAGGUUUCAUUCAUACCUCUCUAGAUGUUUAAUGGGGUUUUUGUGUUAACUAUGGUUUUGCAUUAGAGAAUACCCAAAUCUAAUAUACAGUUUUUCUGUUAAAGAGAUUAUACGGAAUAUCAAUACCCAACUUUAACAGGGUCAAGUUGGUUUAUUCUACUCAUUUAACUGAAGAAUCAUUCACAGGUUUUUAGGGUUAAUAGUGGUUGCGAUCAACCAGCGAGAUGGACACGGAUAAGCGAGAUGGUGGCUUUGCUCUAAUUCACACAUUCUUCUACCUCAUCGCAUCGCAGGUUAUAUCUCGGGCACUAUCGUUUCUUCUUAAUUUGCUGAUUGCCAGGCAACUUACAGAGGUGGACUAUGCGCUUUAUGCAAUACAAUUUCAUCUUUUGGUUACGACAAUUUUAUUCCUCAGUCGUGAGGGCUUUCGACGGGCUUGCAUGAGGACAGAACUCUGGGAUGAGGGGUCUAUGGAAGAAAAUGGUUCAAAACUCUUAGCUGUAGCAUGGAUAACUGUCCCAAUUGGUUUUCUUCUAACAAUUGCAGCAUGUUCUUUUGUUUUAUGGUGGCAAAGCCUCAACCUUUCUGGAAAAUAUGCACAAGCUGUUCUCAUUCAUGGUUUUGCGUGCAUUUUGGAGAUUCUGGCUGAACCUUUAUACAUUCUUGCUCAAAACAUGCUUCUUUUCGGAUUAAGACUUAAGGUUGAGACUGCAGCAACAACUUUACGAUGCAUGACAACAUACUUUCUCAUCAUUAAUCAGACCAAUGAGGGGAAAGAGUUGGUCUUUGCUUUAUCGCAAGUUGCAUAUGGGGCUUCCUUGUUUGUAGGCUACUGGGGAUAUUUUCUUAGCUUAUACAUAUUCCAAAAUCAGAAUUUUAUCACACCUGGCUUCCUUUUCCCUCUCAGAGUAUGGGAAGAAAAGACGUAUGACCGGCAGCUUUUGCUGAUGUCUUUCCUGUUCACAUUCCAGUCCUUCCAAAAAUUGGUCCUUCAGGAAGGGGAGAAGCUCAUUAUUGUACUUUUCGAUACUCCUUAUAACCAGGGCGUAUAUGGCCUUGUAGACAAACUAGGUAGUUUGGUUGUGAGAUCAGUGCUUCAGCCUUUUGAAGAAAGUUCCUUCACAAUAUUUGCAAAGUUUGCUUCAGGACGCAUUACAACUAAGAGCUUUGGCCUAGAGAAUAUCUUUCUGCUGGCACUAAAGCUUGUGAUCUUAUUAGGCCUUGUUGUGUUGACGUUUGGUCCGAGCUACUCAUAUGUUCUCAUUAGAAUAUUGUAUGGGAGGAAAUGGAGUGAUGGAGAAGCUUCUGAAGCUCUUGCCUGCUAUUGUCUGUAUGUCCUUGUCAUGGCAGUUAAUGGAACAACUGAAGCUCUUUUACAUGCCGUUGGCACUAAACAACAGCUUGUUUGGUCUAAUGCAUCACUCGUCCUAUUCUCUGGCAUUUAUAUAGUCCUAAAUAUUCUGUUGGUUCAAAGUGCUGGAGCAAUUGGGCUAAUUGUUGCGAACUCCUUAAGGGCGGGCAGGAAGCUAGCCGGAGUAGUAGCUCUGGGGCAGGUUCUUCGACUGGAUCAAUGCAUGUAUGAACCCGUAGCCGCUAAUCAACAGGACCUGGCAAUCUUCCUUCCUCGUUUCCUCUACCCGCUUCUAUUUUGGGCAGGCAAAAUUGGCCAUCGAGAAAAUCAUCUUUUGCCGGAUUCCCGUAAGAAAGAGGUUCGCGCUUGGAGGAAGCUUGAACCGAAUAUCUCCAAAUCAUGUCCUGUAUUUUGGUCUAUUGUGAAUUGAGGCAGAUCUCAUGGACGGAACAUGAAUAUUGUUGCAAAUUUUGUCUAUUGCCUGUGAACUGAAAAUCCUGCUCUAUCCUUUUCCAAUUGCUGAAUUUCUUCUUGGUUCCCUUUUCUAGUCUGUUGCUUCGUUUGUGGUGGAUUCAGGGUUUUACUCCUGCUCUGCUACCAUGUUAGAGUGCAAGUAGUUUUUCUAUUUCAUGUUUUGAUUAUCGAAAUUUGGCUUCAUGUAGAAUGCUUUAUAAUAAUUUUUAGUUUAGAAUAGGAAGAAAUCCUUUUGGUGCUUGCAUAGUUUCUCAGUAGGUUGUCCAGUUGUUUCAUGAUAUAUGAUUUUCUUAGAACUAAGAUCUAUUUCAAUGCAACUGGACUUGACAUACCGAUUUAGAAUUCGAGCACACCAUGAUAUUGAGAUGUAUGCAUGCAUUAUGAAUUCUCAGGUCUCUCAUUGGAGGGAGCACAUAAAUUUUCUGCCCUGCAUAUUUGAGUAUAUUUUGUCAGCAUUACUUGGAAUGUUUUGUUUGUUCUUCAUACUCCUUAAUCUAUUCUUUGUUGUUCUUGACCACCAUUCUAGAUAUGAUGCUGAGGAUUAUCUAUUCAACACUUUUCAUCAAACGCUUUUUUAGGGACUCUCCAUCAUUUGGUUUUCGUCAUUGCUUGCCUUCAGCUGGAG